Molecule: ribosomal RNA, 254 nt
Filed under: uncultured bacterium
Lineage: Bacteria
Description: partial 16S ribosomal RNA
Rfam family: Bacterial small subunit ribosomal RNA
Source: RNAcentral
GACGGAGGAUGCAAGCGUUAUCCGGAAUGAUUGGGCGUAAAGCGUCCGCAGGUGGCAGUUCAAGUCUGCUGUCAAAGACCGGGGCUUAACUUCGGAAAGGCAGUGGAAACUGAACAGCUAGAGUAUGGUAGGGGCAGAGGGAAUUCCCGGUGUAGCGGUGAAAUGCGUAGAUAUCGUAAGGAAGACCAGUGGCGAAGGCGAGUCUCUGGACAGUUACUGACGCUGAGGCACGAAGGCCAGGGGGAGCAAACGGG